GUGGGGAAUAUUGCGCAAUGGGGGAAACCCUGACGCAGCAACGCCGCGUGAUUGAAGAAGGCCUUCGGGUUGUAAAGAUCUUUAAUUCGGGACGAAAAAAAUGACGGUACCGAAAGAAUAAGCUCCGGCUAACUACGUGCCAGCAGCCGCGGUAAUACGUAGGGAGCAAGCGUUAUCCGGAUUUACUGGGUGUAAAGGGCGCGCAGGCGGGCUUGCAAGUUGGGAGUGAAAUCCCGGGGCUCAACCCCGGAACUGCUUUCAAAACUGUGAGUCUUGAGUGAUGGAGAGGCAGGCGGAAUUCCCAGUGUAGCGGUGAAAUGCGUAGAUAUUGGGAGGAACACCAGUGGCGAAGGCGGCCUGCUGGACAUUAACUGACGCUGAGGCGCGAAAGCGUGGGGAGCAAACAGGAUUAGAAACCCGUGUAGUCC
This 428-nucleotide ribosomal RNA is filed under the name uncultured bacterium. Its description in RNAcentral is "partial 16S ribosomal RNA". It matches the Rfam family "Bacterial small subunit ribosomal RNA", at positions 354 to 796 of the family's 1533-position model. The record is from RNAcentral.